Molecule: ribosomal RNA, 868 nt
Filed under: uncultured archaeon
Lineage: Archaea
Description: bacterial SSU rRNA
Rfam family: Archaeal small subunit ribosomal RNA
Source: RNAcentral
CUCCGGUUGAUCCUGCCGGACCCGACUGCUAUCAGAGUGGGACUAAGCCAUGCGAGUCAACGCAGCAAUGCGUGGCAUACGGCUCAGUAACACGUAGUCAACAUGCCCAGGGGACGUGGAUAACCUCGGGAAACUGAGGAUAAACCACGAUAGGCCAAGGUUUCUGGAAUGGACACUGGCUGAAACCUACAUGGCCCCUGGAUUGGACUGCGGCCGAUCAGGCUGUUGGUGAGGUAAUGGCCCACCAAACCUGUAACCGGUACGGGCUUUGAGAGAAGGAGCCCGGAGAUGGGCACUGAGACAAGGGCCCAGGCCCUAUGGGGCGCAGCAGGCGCGAAACCUCUGCAAUAGGCGAAAGCUUGACAGGGUUACUCUGAGUGAUGCCCGCUAAGGGCAUCUUUUGGCACCUCUAAAAAUGGUGCAGAAUAAGGGGUGGGCAAGUCUGGUGUCAGCCGCCGCGGUAAUACCAGCACCCCGAGUGGUCGGGACGAUUAUUGGGCCUAAAGCAUCCGUAGCUUGUUCUGCAAGUCCUCCGUUAAAUCCACCUGCUCAACAGAUGGGCUGCGGGGGAUACUACAGGGCUAGGAGGCGGGAGAGGCAAACGGUACUCAGUGGGUAGGGGUAAAAUCCUCUGAUCCACUGAAGACCACCAGUGGCGAAGGCGGUUUGCCAGAACGCGCUCGACGGUGAGGGAUGAAAGCUGGGGGAGCAAACCGGAUUAGAUACCCGGGUAGUCCCAGCUGUAAACGAUGCAGACUCGGUGAUGGGUUGGCUUUGAGCCAACCCAGUGCCGCAGGGAAGCCGUUAAGUCUGCCGCCUGGGGAGUACGGUCGCAAGACUGAAACUUAAAGGAAUUGGCGGGGGAGCA